This 461-nucleotide ribosomal RNA is filed under the name uncultured bacterium. RNAcentral's name for it is "partial 16S ribosomal RNA". It matches the Rfam family "Bacterial small subunit ribosomal RNA", at positions 338 to 795 of the family's 1533-position model. The record is from RNAcentral.
CCUACGGGAGGCAGCAGUGAGGACUAUUGGUCAAUGGGCGGAAGCCUGAACCAGCCAAGUCGCGUGCAGGAUGACGGCCCUACGGGUUGUAAACUUCUUUUGUCAGGGAGCAAUUGGGUCCACGCGUGGGCUUAGCGAGAGUACCUGAAGAAAAAGCAUCGCCUAACUCCUUGCCAGCAGCCGCGGAAAUACGGAGGGGGCAAGCGUUAUCCGGAUUUACUGGGUGGAAGGGGAGCCUAGACGGCAAGGCAAGGGUGGAGUGAAAGGCCGUGGCCCAACCACGGGCCUGCUUUGGAAACUGUGUUGGUUGAGUGCAGGAGGGGUAAGCGGAAUUCCUAGUGUAGCGGUGAAAUGCGUAGAUAUUAGGAGGAACACCGGUGGCGAAGGCGGCUUACUGGACUGUAACUGACGUUGAGGCUCGAAGGCGUGGGGAGCAAACAGGAUUAGAUACCCGGGUAGUC